Molecule: long non-coding RNA, 1940 nt
Filed under: Prunus dulcis (almond)
Lineage: Eukaryota; Viridiplantae; Streptophyta; Magnoliopsida; Rosales; Rosaceae
Description: sRNA ncRNA
Source: RNAcentral
AAGAAUUGAAUCAAGAAAGCCAAAACCCCCCAAAAAUUAUGACAAUCAAGUUUCCAAACUCUCCACUAGUGCUGCUCAUCCUCUCAAUCCUUUCAUCACUCUCAGUAUCAUGGGCAACUUCAGAGCCAGUUCCCAUUAAUGGCUUUCUCCAAUGCCUUCCAAAACAGUUUCAUUCUGGCCACCCAAUCUUUGAAGCCGUUUACACCCCUCAAAACACCUCUUUUCAAUCCAUUUUGAUGGCACGCGUUAAAAACCUCAGAUUUUCAAGCCCUACUACUCCAAAACCUCUGGCCAUUGUAGCAGCCAAGCACGAAUCUCAUGUGCAGGCAACUAUUGUUUGUGCAAAACAAAAUGGACUGCAAAUUAGAAUCCGAAGUGGUGGCCAUGACUAUGAGGGUCUAUCGUACGUAUCGCAUGUCCCCUUUGUCGUUCUUGACAUGUUUCAUCUCCAAUCCGUUAAUGUUAGUGUCAAGGAUGAGAGCGCUUGGGUUGAGUCUGGAGCUACUCUUGGCAAAAUUUAUCAUAAAAUUGCUCAGAAAUCCAAGGUUCAUGGGUUUCCUGCUGGGGUUGGACCAACUGUUGGUGCUGGUGGCCACUUCAGUGGGGGAGGGUAUGGGAAUUUGAUGAGAAAAUAUGGCCUUAGCAUCGACAAUAUUGUCGAUGCUAAACUAGUUGAUGCAAAUGGUAGAAUCCUUGAUAGAAAGUCUAUGGGAGAAGACAUUUUCUGGGCCAUUAAUGGAGGUGGAGGAGCUAGCUUUGGAGUCAUUCUUUCAUGGAAACUCAAGCUUGUUCGAGUUCCAGAAAAAGUGACCGUGUUCAACGUUACAAGGACUUUAGAGCAAGGCGUUACAGAUGUCCUUUAUAAGUGGCAAUUUGUAGCACCCGUGCUCCCUAAAGACCUCUUCCUGAGAGCAAGGCCAGAAAUCGAGAAUAAUACUGAGGGCAAGAAGAUUGCGGAAGUAUCAUUCAUCGGUCAAUUUUUGGGACAAACUCGCGAGCUUCUGCCUUUGAUGAACGAGAGCUUCCCCGAAUUGCGUUUACGACGAGAAGAUUGUCAUGAAGUGAGUUGGUUUGAAUCUGUUGUAUUCUGGGCUGAACUCCCACUUGGAACCCCAAGAUCUAUUUAUCUCAACCUGAAAAACAAACCAAUACCCUUCUUCAAAGCUAAGUCUGACUAUGUGAAGAAACCAAUUCCAAAAAAAGUUAUAGAAUACAUGUUUAAGGCGAUGCUUGAGAUAGGGAAUAUAUGGAUGGAAUGGAACCCUCAUGGUGGAAGAAUGAGUGAGAUUUCUGCGUCAGCAACUCCAUCCCCUCACAGAGCUGGAAACCUAUAUUCGAUUCAAUACUAUACGUCGUGGUUUCAAGACGAAGGGAUUGAGGCCACCAACAGGUACAUUCACUUAACAAGAAAGUUGCAUGAAAAGAUGACUCCGUUUGUCUCCAGGAACCCGAGAGAGGCCUUCCAAAACUAUAGGGAUCUCGACAUUGGCGCCAAUCUGUACAACCAAAGUAACCUUCUAACUGCUUCAGUUUACGGAAGCAAGUAUUUUGAAGGUAACUUCGAAAGAUUGGUGCGUGUGAAAACCAUGGUUGAUCCUCACAACUUUUUCAAGCAUGAACAAAGUAUCCCACCUAUUUAGAGAGAUUGGAAGGUUUAACAAUAUGAACAUGUAUGAGUCUGGCUAUUGAUGCUUGUAAUAUUGAUUUGAUGUAUUGGAAAAUAAAGCAUAGUCUACAAUAAGAAUAAUGUUCAUUCAUAAAAGGUGACAAUAAUGUUCUUAGCAAUCAGCCAACAACGUCACCUUAUCCACACAACCUCUACUAUGACGGCUAUGCCCGAUAUUGGGAAAGCAAUAUAUGUCAUGCGGUUUGUAUGUAAGCAGUUAGCUAUUACUCAAAUUUUGAAUUGCUUCACCUAAUAAUAACCUAAUCGUGUAGAA